Molecule: ribosomal RNA, 446 nt
Filed under: uncultured bacterium
Lineage: Bacteria
Description: bacterial SSU rRNA
Rfam family: Bacterial small subunit ribosomal RNA
Source: RNAcentral
GUCCCAGACUCCUACGGGAGGCAGCAGUGGGGAAUAUUGCACAAUGGGGGGAACCCUGAUGCAGCGACGCCGCGUGGGCGAUGGAAUGCUUCGGCAUGUAAAGCCCUAUCAGCAGGGAAGAAAAUGACGGUACCUGACUAAGAAGCCCCGGCUAAAUACGUGCCAGCAGCCGCGGUAAUACGGAGGAUGCGAGCGUUAUCCGGAUUUAUUGGGUUUAAAGGGUGCGCAGGCGGAAUGUCAAGUCAGCGGUAAAAUUUCGGGGCUCAACCCCGUCGUGCCGUUGAAACUGGCGUUCUUGAGUGAGCGAGAAGUAUGCGGAAUGCGUGGUGUAGCGGUGAAAUGCAUAGAUAUCACGCAGAACUCCGAUUGCGAAGGCAGCAUACCGGCGCUCAACUGACGCUCAUGCACGAAAGCGUGGGUAUCGAACAGGAUUAGAUACCCGAGUA